This 603-nucleotide unclassified non-coding RNA is filed under the name Hevea brasiliensis (rubber tree). Lineage: Eukaryota; Viridiplantae; Streptophyta; Magnoliopsida; Malpighiales; Euphorbiaceae. The record is from RNAcentral.
AAGUUCCUCACCAGAAGCAACCCUAAGACUCCUAAAGUGCUGCUUCAUUGUCAAUAAGAGAGAGUUCAGCAAGGCCAGCUGGUCAGUGUAGUCUCCAUCAUUUGGGGGCAGAAAAAACUCUAAAAUAUAAUCAUCGUUGCCAGUGUGAGUGCUCCGUAAGCAGAUUGCAAAACAGCGGGACAACCCAAACAAACGUGCAUAGUGCACCAAGGGGUACUCUGUUUUGCAGAACUUCCCUAUAUCUUCACAAAAGCAUGAUUUUUGAGAAGCAUAUGCCCUUCCAGCAACUCCCUGUCCCUUUUGUAAGUGAUGCUCAGCACAGGCCUCGCGGAAACCCCACAUGUGAGCAUCAACCACAUAAAAUGCAACAUCUGUUGUGGACAUACAGAUCUGUCCCAUGCAGCUCCCAUCGAAACUACUGCAGCUCUUUCUCAACCCACCACCAUCAGCCAGAACACUGCGAUGCCUGCACGGAACCCAUGUUUGAGCCAGAGGCAGUUUGUAUGUUUCACAUACAGCAGUUAGUAUCUCCAAGAUGUCGACCAGUGCAUUCUGCCGGCCUUCAUUGCAGAUCUGGUUCAUAUACCCCAUCACAUAGACCUG